RNAcentral lists this ribosomal RNA (460 nucleotides) under uncultured bacterium. RNAcentral describes it as "partial 16S ribosomal RNA". It matches the Rfam family "Bacterial small subunit ribosomal RNA", at positions 338 to 795 of the family's 1533-position model. The record is from RNAcentral.
CCUACGGGAGGCAGCAGUGAGGAAUAUUGGUCAAUGGACGAGAGUCUGAACCAGCCAAGUAGCGUGAAGGAUGACUGCCCUAUGGGUUGUAAACUUCUUUUAUAAAGGAAUAAAACGAGGCACGUGUGCCUUUUUGCAUGUACUUUAUGAAUAAGGAUCGGCUAACUCUGUGCCAGCAGCCGCGGUAAUACGGAGGAUCCGAGCGUUAUCCGGAUUUAGUGGGUUUAAAGGGAGCGUAGAUGGGUUGUUAAGUCAGUUGUGAAAGUUUGCGGCUCAACCGUAAAAUUGCAAUUGAUACUGGCAGUCUUGAGUACAGUUGAGGUAGGCGGAAUUCGUGGUGUAGCGGUGAAAUGCUUAGAUAUCACGAAGAACCCCGAUUGCGAAGGCAGCUUACUAAACUGUGACUGACAUUGAUGCUCGAAAGUGUGAGUAUCAAACAGGAUUAGAUACCCCGGUAGUC